UACAGAGGUCUCGAGCGUUAGGCGGAAUCACUGGGCUUAAAGCGUGUGUAGGCGGAUCGUUAAGUACCUUGUGAAAUCCCGCGGCUUAACCGUGGAACUGCUUGGUAUACUGGCGGUCUUGAGCCAGCUAGGGGCUACCGGAACAAAUGGUGGAGCGGUGAAAUGCGUAGAUAUCAUUUGGAACGCCAAUGGUGAAAACAGGUAGCUGGGGCUGUGCUGACGCUGAGACACGAAAGCCAGGGGAGCAAACGGG
Molecule: ribosomal RNA, 253 nt
Filed under: uncultured bacterium
Lineage: Bacteria
Description: partial 16S ribosomal RNA
Rfam family: Bacterial small subunit ribosomal RNA
Source: RNAcentral